Molecule: ribosomal RNA, 428 nt
Filed under: uncultured archaeon
Lineage: Archaea
Description: bacterial SSU rRNA
Rfam family: Archaeal small subunit ribosomal RNA
Source: RNAcentral
UACCAGCUCUCCGAGUUGUAGGGAUGAUUAUUGGGCUUAAAGCGUCCGUAGCUGGCUUAGCAAGUCUCCUGUUAAAUUCAGCGACCUAAUCGUUGAGCCGCGGGAGAUACUACUAGGCUAGGAGGCGGGAGAGGUCGACGGUACUUUCGGGGUAGGGGUGAAAUCCUAUAAUCCCGGGAGGACCACCAGUGGCGGAGGCUGUCGACUAGAACGCGCUCGACGGUGAGGGACGAAAGCUGGGGGAGCGAACCGGAUUAGAUACCCGGGUAGUCCCAGCUGUAAACUAUGCGGGCUAGGUGUUGGGGUGGCUACGGGCCACUUCAGUGCCGCAGGAAAGCCAUUAAGCCCGCCGCCUGGGGAGUACGGCCGCAAGGCUGAAACUUAAGGAAUUGGCGGGGGAGCACCACAAGGCGUGAAGCUUGCGGUUC